ACAUCAUAAUUGAUAGCAUUAUAUUGGCUAUCAUCUUCUUCAUCCUCGGACACUUCAUCAAUUAGGGUGGUGGACCGGCUUGAACUUGCUACCCGCUUUCCCUUGUACGUUGAACUUGAAGAACUCGCUCGAAGUCCAUAGAUGUUCUCCUCAACUCCAACAGCCAUAAAAACGGUACCCCAAUCAAGAUCAUCUCCUUCAUACACUUGUUCAUCUUCGUGAUUUUGGGAGGCUCCAGUUAACCAUUCAUUUGCCUCAUCAAUAUUGUCCAACAAAAUUGGAUCAAUAGUAUNNNNNN
This 298-nucleotide long non-coding RNA is filed under the name Nicotiana benthamiana. RNAcentral describes it as "long non-coding RNA (NBEN_LNC032617)". Lineage: Eukaryota; Viridiplantae; Streptophyta; Magnoliopsida; Solanales; Solanaceae. The record is from RNAcentral.